This 337-nucleotide ribosomal RNA is filed under the name uncultured bacterium. RNAcentral's name for it is "partial 16S ribosomal RNA". It matches the Rfam family "Bacterial small subunit ribosomal RNA", at positions 338 to 667 of the family's 1533-position model. The record is from RNAcentral.
CCUACGGGAGGCAGCAGUGGGGAAUAUUGCUCAAUGGGCGAAAGCCUGAAGCAGCGACGCCGCGUGAGGGCUGAAGGUCUUCGGAUCGUAAACCUCUGUCAGCAGGGAAGAACGCUCACUGUGCUAAGCACCAGUGCAUUGACGGUACCUGCAACGGCAGCACAGGCUAACUCCGUACCCGCAGCCGCGGUAAUACGGGGGGUGCGAGCGUUAAUCGGAAUUACUGGGCGUAAAGCGCGCGUAGGCGGUAGGUCAAGUCAAGGGUGAAAUCCCCGGGCUCAACGUGGGAACUGCCUUUGAAACUGGCAAACUGGAGUGUGUGAGAGGAGAGUGGAAU